UCGCAGGUAACUGCUUGAAAGGUAUGGUAUUAUCAACCUCUUUUGAUAUCAUGCACUCAACAUUCUUUAUAUAACUGACGUUUUCAUAACACCUAGCACGGUACUGCUACAACCUGAACGCACAAACUGAGACAGAAUAGUAUAGUACUGUUCUGUCUCAGCUUGUGCUGCCUACUAUUCUGCCCCGCUGCUCUGCCCUCGAGUGAAACGGGCAUAACUUUGCAACUCAAAUAUCAUGAACUAAGCGUAAUACUUUCUGUUACCCUGGUACUUUUCACUCUUUUCUCACCACGAUAUUCGUCACUUAUUCCAGAUGUCUUCAAUUCCAAAAACAAAAAUAUGGUAUAGGUCCUCGGUAAAGCAUGGGUCCGGAUGACUCAUGGUUUCAUAAGAGUAUUAUUUAUUCCUUACUGGAUACUAGUUACGAACAAUCAUACAGGUAUCAGUAAAGGUAAAAAUCCUAUUACUUGGAUACCGGUAUCCUAUGAGGAUCAUUUUUUAUUUUUAUGUAACUGGUUACAAAACUCCGGUUACAUACGCGGCCGAAGGGUUUAUUUACAUCAUAAACAAAAACCUCUUUGACAUGCCAAGGUCCCGGGCGCAAGCAAGCUAAUGUAUACCUAACUUGUAAGUGUCAAGUUUAUUUUGACAGUGUCUUAUGACAGACGUUUUUAGUUGUCCCUGGCGAUGUGGGGCUGUGGGCACGACUACAGUCAGAACAAGACAAGUCUGCAACGAUUUUGAUAGCACACGCAGAGCAAGUGUUAUUUUUCUACGUCAUAAUUUCAUAGAUGUUUGACGUGCCCCUCCCCCGCAAAAAUCAGUAGACUGUAACAGGCUUGUUUUGUACAGAAAAUUCAGGCAAGGCGUCUCCAAUUGUCAAAUCCUCCAAGGUUAAAAUCGACAAUCUAGUCCAAACAUCUUAGAAAGGCGUCAUCAUAGUCUAUGAAUAAAGCACUAAAAAAUAAAAGUGACAUUUGUCAUUUUAUAUCGGGUAUCAUUUAAAAUCAUAAAUUUAUUUACAGAAAAUAAUUCUAAAAGAAAAUCUACCAAACUAAUUUACAAUAAAAACCAUAAAUUCCCAAGAUUUGAUCAGUGUUCCGUCCUAUUGACAAGGAGACAAAUCAUGAAUGGACCAGAGCAACCAUGUUGAGCUACCUUCUUAUAAUAAUUAAGAAGUGGAGGGCGAUCCUUAUUUUAACAGUCGGAAACUUAUGCCUGACGAAACCGAGACGUUAUAUAAAAUGCAUUUAUGAUUGUUUCAGAGCCGGGGAAGGACAUCAGGAUAGUUUCUAUGAUUCAUCAUCAUUCUACGUCUACGCGGACGAAGUCGAGGGCAGAAACUAGUACUUAAAUAAAUGCAAUAUAAAUAAUAUUACUUAAUUAAGAGGGUAACAUAAAUAAUAACUAGACUUCGAUAGGUACCUAAAACAGUUUUAUAUUAAAUCAGGUUUCGUUGGAGGAAGAGUCCGAAUUUUGAGCAACGAUGCUAUGCGAGAAGUCGCGCAAAACAACGCGAGUUGCGUAUCCUGUACUGGAGGCCAAGACCCACGGUGCUGCUGAUUUACAAAUGAAAAUUUGUGUAAUGAUAUGCAAACGAAACCAGAGGAAUUAAGUGUUCAGCGGAACUGCUCCUGAAAAAAAGAUUGCUGUCAUAAGAGAUGCGGGUAUCUACUUUCAAUAUGUGUGACCAGCCUAUAAGAUCGAACCUGAAGCAAACAAGACAAUUUACCCUUAAAUGUAUUAGUAUAAGUUUGCCUAUUUAUUAUUAAUUCUCCAUAUUGCCUAAUAAAACAACUAUAUUGUGCAUUAGAAGACAGUAUCAUCCGGACAUGGUAUAUCAGAAUGUUACGUUCUGUGGAUAUACUCUGUUCUAAUGCACAGACAUUUUUAUUGUGUGAUUAA
This is a long non-coding RNA of Cydia pomonella (codling moth), 1905 nucleotides long. RefSeq lists it as uncharacterized. The transcript has 5 exons. Lineage: Eukaryota; Metazoa; Arthropoda; Insecta; Lepidoptera; Tortricidae. The record is from RefSeq and is a predicted model, not a curated record.